CCUACGGGUGGCUGCAGUGGGGAAUUUUCCGCAAUGCGCGUAAGAGUGAUGCAGCGACGCCGCGUGAAUGACGAAGGCCUUCGGGUCGUAAAGUUCUUUUGACAGGGAAGAAAAUGUCUAUAAGGAACUGUUUGCGUAUUGACGGUACCUGUAUAAGCAGCCACGGCUAACUCCGUGCCAGCAGCCGCGGUAAUACGGAGGGGGCGAGCGUUGUUCGGAGUGAUUGGGCGUAAAGAGGACGUAGGCGGUGUUGUAAGUCCUGAGUUAAAGACUAGAGCUCAACUUUAGGAAGGCUAGUGAUACUAGAAAACUAGAGUAAGAGAGAGGUAUGCGGAAUGCCAUGUGAAGCGGUGAAAUGCGUAGAUAUCUGGAAGAACACCGUAGGCGAAGGCAGCUUUCUGGCUCUAUACUGACGCUGAGGUGCGAAAGCGUGGGGAGCAAACAGGAUUAGAUACCCGUGUAGUC
Molecule: ribosomal RNA, 465 nt
Filed under: uncultured bacterium
Lineage: Bacteria
Description: partial 16S ribosomal RNA
Rfam family: Bacterial small subunit ribosomal RNA
Source: RNAcentral